This is a long non-coding RNA of Thalassophryne amazonica, 816 nucleotides long. RefSeq lists it as uncharacterized. The transcript has 3 exons. Lineage: Eukaryota; Metazoa; Chordata; Actinopteri; Batrachoidiformes; Batrachoididae. The record is from RefSeq and is a predicted model, not a curated record.
ACCAGCCAACAAACCUUGCUAAAUAAUGUUCCACUGAGCUAUAAAUGCAGAAACUGGUGCACAUUUUGCAUUCAGAGCGAGGUGCUUUUUUCACUUUUUUUUUUACACGCAAAACCAUCACCUGUGGACAAACAACAUGCCAUUGUGCCCAAAAUGCAACAAGGAAGUUUACUUCGAUCCUCAACCAGGUCCCUACAUUUUAUCCAAAUGACAUCCAUCACAUGGACACACAGGUCUAUCUGACAUCAGAAAGCUGUGGUCCUUCAGUGUGGAGCAGUCUGUGGGUCUUGGAUGCCAACUAUACAGGCAAACAACCGGUCAAUUCCCACAUCUCUAAAUAACCAUCUAUCUGCCACAGCCAUGUGAAACGUGGGCAUCCCCUUGACCUUCUCCAACCACUGGGGUCCUCAACACUCAACCUGCAUGGUAGCUCAUGCAGAGGAACACCCCGUCCAUGCAAACAUUGAACAGUGUAGGAACCAGAACAGAUCCCUGAUGAACACUCAUUUCUCCUUGGAGAAAGAAAGAAAAAAAAGUAAGCUGACAAUGAUUAAUAAAUGGAAUUGUUUUGACUGUGUUGUGCUUAGUCUGCAAAGUAAAGGUCAAAUAAUGUCAAUGUCCAUUUAUUUUCUAACAUAACUACGUAAGCAUGACACAUGGUGCAAACUAUUUUUUUUUAAUGUCCUUGUUUCCUGAAAUUACCAAUUGUUAACUAGCUGCUCCACUACUGCCAUUCAUUGUAUCAAUCACUUGGGCUUAACUCCCAAGUGAUUGCUGCAAUAUUUUUGCUCUAAACCCCUUGAAAUAAAGUUGAAA